This 1971-nucleotide ribosomal RNA is filed under the name human metagenome. RNAcentral describes it as "bacterial LSU rRNA". It matches the Rfam family "Bacterial large subunit ribosomal RNA", at positions 1 to 2001 of the family's 2925-position model. The record is from RNAcentral.
UUAAGUGACUAAGCGUACAAGGUGGAUGCCUUGGCAAUCAGAGGCGACGAAGGACGUGCUAAUCUGCGAAAAGCUUGGAUGAGUCGAUAAGAGGCGCUUAAUCCAAGAUGUCCGAAUGGGGAAACCCAGUAGAUGAAGAAUCUACUAUCACUUACUGAAUCCAUAGGUAAGUGAGGCAAACCGGGAGAACUGAAACAUCUAAGUACCCCGAGGAAAAGAAAUCAACCGAGAUUUCGUUAGUAGCGGCGAGCGAACGCGAAGGAGCCUGUUAGUGAUAAUGACAGAGACAGAGGAACAAGCUGGGAAGCUUGGCGAUACAGGGUGAUAGCCCCGUACUCGAAGUCCAGGUCAUGGUACUAAGCUAACGAUAAGUAGGGCGGGACACGUGAUAUCCUGUUUGAAGAUGGGGGGACCAUCCUCCAAGGCUAAAUACUCCUGAUUGACCGAUAGUGAACCAGUACUGUGAAGGAAAGGCGAAAAGAACCCCGGUGAGGGGAGUGAAAUAGAACCUGAAACCUUGUACGUACAAGCAGUGGGAGCCCUUUAAGGGUGACUGCGUACCUUUUGUAUAAUGGGUCAGCGACUUAUAUUUUGUAGCGAGGUUAACCGAAUAGGGGAGCCGAAGGGAAACCGAGUCUUAACUGGGCGUCUAGUUGCAAGGUAUAGACCCGAAACCCGGUGAUCUAGCCAUGGGCAGGUUGAAGGUUGGGUAACACUAACUGGAGGACCGAACCGACUAAUGUUGAAAAAUUAGCGGAUGACUUGUGGCUGGGGGUGAAAGGCCAAUCAAACCGGGAGAUAGCUGGUUCUCCCCGAAAUCUAUUUAGGUAGAGCCUUGAGCGGACACCUUCGGGGGUAGAGCACUGUUUCGGCUAGGGGUCCAUCCCGGAUUACCAACCCGAUGCAAACUACGAAUACCGAAGAGUGAUACUCAGGAGACACACGGCGGGUGCUAACGUCCGUCGUGGAGAGGGAAACAACCCAGACCGCCAGCUAAGGUCCCAAAGUCUAUAUUAAGUGGGAAACGAAGUGGGAAGGCUUAGACAGCUAGGAUGUUGGCUUAGAAGCAGCCAUCAUUUAAAGAAAGCGUAAUAGCUCACUAGUCGAGUCGGCCUGCGCGGAAGAUGUAACGGGGCUCAAAUAUAGCACCGAAGCUGCGGCAUCAGUAGCAAUACUGUUGGGUAGGGGAGCGUUCUGUAAGCGGAUGAAGGUGGCUCGAGAGGGCUGCUGGACGUAUCAGAAGUGCGAAUGCUGACAUAAGUAACGAUAAAACGGGUGAAAAACCCGUUCGCCGGAAGACCAAGGGUUCCUGUCCAACGUUAAUCGGGGCAGGGUGAGUCGGCCCCUAAGGCGAGGCUGAAAAGCGUAGUCGAUGGGAAACGGGUUAAUAUUCCCGUACUUGGAUAAACUGCGAUGUGGGGACGGAGCAGGUUAGGUUAUCGCACUGUUGGAUAUGUGCGUUUAAGUUGGUAGGUGUGAAGUUUAGGCAAAUCCAGACUUCUUUAACACCGAGAGAUGAUGACGAGGCUCUACGGAGCUGAAGUAACCGAUACCACACUUCCAGGAAAAGCCACUAAGCUUCAGGUUUAUCUAAACCGUACUGAAAACCGACACAGGUGGUCAGGUAGAGAAUACUCAGGCGCUUGAGAGAACUCGGGUGAAGGAACUAGGCAAAAUAGCACCGUAACUUCGGGAGAAGGUGCGCCGGCGUAGAUUGUAGUCCCUUGCGGGCGAAGGUUGAACCGGUCGAAGAUACCAGCUGGCUGCAACUGUUUAUUAAAAACACAGCACUCUGCAAACACGAAAGUGGACGUAUAGGGUGUGAUGCCUGCCCGGUGCUGGAAGGUUAAUUGAUGGUGUAAUCGAAAGAGAAGCUCCUGAUCGAAGCCCCAGUAAACGGCGGCCGUAACUAUAACGGUCCUAAGGUAGCGAAAUUCCUUGUCGGGUAAGUUCCGACCUGCACGAAUGGUG